This 525-nucleotide ribosomal RNA is filed under the name uncultured bacterium. RNAcentral's name for it is "bacterial SSU rRNA". It matches the Rfam family "Bacterial small subunit ribosomal RNA", at positions 984 to 1509 of the family's 1533-position model. The record is from RNAcentral.
ACAUCCAGAGAACUUAGCAGAGAUGCUUUGGUGCCUUCGGGAACUCUGAGACAGGUGCUGCAUGGCUGUCGUCAGCUCGUGUUGUGAAAUGUUGGGUUAAGUCCCGNAACGAGCGCAACCCUUAUCCUUUGUUGCCAGCGGUUCGGCCGGGAACUCAAAGGAGACUGCCGGUGAUAAACCGGAGGAAGGUGGGGAUGACGUCAAGUCAUCAUGGCCCUUACGGCCAGGGCUACACACGUGCUACAAUGGCGCAUACAAAGAGAAGCGACCUCGCGAGAGCAAGCGGACCUCAUAAAGUGCGUCGUAGUCCGGAUUGGAGUCUGCAACUCGACUCCAUGAAGUCGGAAUCGCUAGUAAUCGUAGAUCAGAAUGCUACGGUGAAUACGUUCCCGGGCCUUGUACACACCGCCCGUCACACCAUGGGAGUGGGUUGCAAAAGAGGUAGGUAGCUUAACCUUCGGGAGGGCGCUUACCACUUUGUGAUUCAUGACUGGGGUGAAGUCGUAACAAGGUAGGCGUAGCGAG